UUCGCAAUGCCCGAAAGGGUGACGAUGCGACGCCGCGUGAGCGAAGAAGGCCCUAGGGUUGUAAAGCUCUGUCGAGGGUUAUGAAAUAUAGAUGGGUUAAUACCCCAUUUAUUUGACAAAAGCCCAAAAGGAAGCCACGGCUAACUCUGUGCCAGCAGCCGCGGUAGUACAGAGGUGGCGAGCGUUGUUCGGAAUUAUUGGGCGUAAAGAGCACGUAGGCGGCCUUGUAAGUCAGUUGUGAAAGCCUUCUGCUCAACGGAAGAACAGCAUCUGAUACUGCAAGGCUAGAGUGCGGAAGGGGAGAGUGGAACUUCUGGUGGAGCGGUGAAAUGCGUAGAUAUCAGAAGGAACGUCGGCGGCGAAAGCGACUCUCUGGCCUAUUACUGACACUGAGUGUGCGAAAGUUAGGGGAGCAAACAGGAUUAGAUACCCCGGUAGUCCUAACCGUAAACGAUGGGCACUAAGUAGAGGGGUUUU
This 477-nucleotide ribosomal RNA is filed under the name uncultured anaerobic ammonium-oxidizing bacterium. RNAcentral describes it as "bacterial SSU rRNA". It matches the Rfam family "Bacterial small subunit ribosomal RNA", at positions 365 to 832 of the family's 1533-position model. The record is from RNAcentral.